UACAGAGGUCUCAAGCGUUGUCCGGAAUUAUUGGGCGUAAAGGGCUCGUAGGCGGUUUGUCGCGUCGGGAGUGAAAACACACAGCUUAACUGUGUGCUUGCUUCCGAUACGGGCAGACUAGAGGUAUGCAGGGGAGAACGGAAUUCCUAGUGUAGCGGUGAAAUGCGCAGAUAUCAGGAGGAACACCGGUGGCGAAGGCGCCACUCUGGGCCGGUACUGACGCUGAGGAGCGAAAGCGUGGGUAGCAAACAGG
Molecule: ribosomal RNA, 253 nt
Filed under: uncultured bacterium
Lineage: Bacteria
Description: partial 16S ribosomal RNA
Rfam family: Bacterial small subunit ribosomal RNA
Source: RNAcentral